This 357-nucleotide ribosomal RNA is filed under the name Triticum aestivum (bread wheat). RNAcentral describes it as "partial small subunit ribosomal RNA". Lineage: Eukaryota; Viridiplantae; Streptophyta; Magnoliopsida; Poales; Poaceae. The record is from RNAcentral.
AUGGAGGCAGGCUCCGGCGACGCCAAUAGGGGAUCACGGCGGCGCACGCGCCGGAGCUCGAAGAGGAUGCACGGGAGCACGAGGAGGAUGUGCGUGAGCUUUAGGAGGAUGCAGGGGAGCUCGAGGAGGGACGCGCACGGCCUCGCGGAAGACGUAGCGGGAGAUUCCAGCGACGCCCACAGAGAGCUGCCAACGGCCGGCUACGACAAGACGCAGGCGACUGCGGAGAACGGGCUGACGGAGCAAGGAAGGUUGCGCAGGGGCGACGGCCCAUGGCAGGCUGGCGAUGACCAUCCGCGCAAACUCUACAGGCGCGCUGUCGCCGCAGAUGAGGACGGUCCAAGAUGGCCGAACUGA